This 314-nucleotide ribosomal RNA is filed under the name Escherichia coli. RNAcentral describes it as "partial 23S ribosomal RNA". It matches the Rfam family "Bacterial large subunit ribosomal RNA", at positions 1428 to 1744 of the family's 2925-position model. Lineage: Bacteria; Pseudomonadati; Pseudomonadota; Gammaproteobacteria; Enterobacterales; Enterobacteriaceae. The record is from RNAcentral.
GGUUAAUAUUCCUGUACUUGGUGUUACUGCGAAGGGGGGACGGAGAAGGCUAUGUUGGCCGGGCGACGGUUGUCCCGGUUUAAGCGUGUAGGCUGGUUUUCCAGGCAAAUCCGGAAAAUCAAGGCUGAGGCGUGAUGACGAGGCACUACGGUGCUGAAGCAACAAAUGCCCUGCUUCCAGGAAAAGCCUCUAAGCAUCAGGUAACAUCAAAUCGUACCCCAAACCGACACAGGUGGUCAGGUAGAGAAUACCAAGGCGCUUGAGAGAACUCGGGUGAAGGAACUAGGCAAAAUGGUGCCGUAACUUCGGGAGAA